Molecule: ribosomal RNA, 468 nt
Filed under: uncultured bacterium
Lineage: Bacteria
Description: partial 16S ribosomal RNA
Rfam family: Bacterial small subunit ribosomal RNA
Source: RNAcentral
GACGAACGCUGGCGGCGUGCCUAAUACAUGCAAGUUGAACGGUGAGGGCCUGUAUUUGUGGGGUGCGCGUGUGGCGCACGGGUGAGAGUCACGCGAGUGAACUCUCCCUGUCUUUGGGGUACCUUCUUGAGACUGGGGCUCUAAUCCGGUAUGAGCACCUUCUACAUGGGGUGUGUUUUUAAACUUCGGCGGUUGGGGAUGGACCCGCGGGUUAUCAGCUUGUUGGUGGGGUAGUGGCUUACCAGGGCUUCGACGGGUAGCCGGCCUGCGAGGGUGACCGGCCACAUUGGGACUGAGAUACGGCCCAGACUCCUACGGGAGGCAGCAGUGGGGAAUAUUGCACAAUGGGCGGAAGCCUGAUGCAGCAACGCCGCGUGCGGGAUGACGGCCUUCGGGUUGUAAACCGCUUUCGCCUGUGACGAAGCGUGAGUGACGGUAAUGGGUAAAGAAGCACCGGCUAACUACGUG